RNAcentral lists this microRNA precursor (86 nucleotides) under Podarcis lilfordi (Lilford's wall lizard). The record is from RNAcentral. Lineage: Eukaryota; Metazoa; Chordata; Lepidosauria; Squamata; Lacertidae.
UGCUGUUUUGGGACUACAACUCCCAUCGUCCCUAGCUAACAGGACCAGUGGUCAGGGAUGAUGGGAAUUGUAGCCCCAAAACAGCU